UACGUAGGGUGCGAGCGUUAAUCGGAAUUACUGGGCGUAAAGUGUGCGCAGGCGGCCGAGCAAGUCGAGUGUGAAAGCCCCGAGCUUAACUUGCGAACUGCGCUCGAAACUACUUGGCUAGAGUGUGGCAGAGGGAGGUGGAAUUCCACGUGUAGCGGUGAAAUGCGUAGAGAUGUGGAGGAACACCGAUGGCGAAGGCAGCCUCCUGGGCCAACACUGACGCUCAUGCACGAAAGCGUGGGGAGCAAACAGG
This 253-nucleotide ribosomal RNA is filed under the name uncultured bacterium. Its description in RNAcentral is "partial 16S ribosomal RNA". It matches the Rfam family "Bacterial small subunit ribosomal RNA", at positions 524 to 776 of the family's 1533-position model. The record is from RNAcentral.